CUGGAGGUAUCAGAAGUGCGAAUGCUGACAUAAGUAACGAUAAAGCGGGUGAAAAGCCCGCUCGCCGGAAGACCAAGGGUUCCUGUCCAACGUUAAUCGGGGCAGGGUGAGUCGACCCCUAAGGCGAGGCCGAAAGGCGUAGUCGAUGGGAAACAGGUUAAUAUUCCUGUACUUGGUGUUACUGCGAAGGGGGGACGGAGAAGGCUAUGUUGGCCGGGCGACGGUUGUCCCGGUUUAAGCGUGUAGGCUGGUUUUCCAGGCAAAUCCGGAAAAUCAAGGCUGAGGCGUGAUGACGAGGCACUACGGUGCUGAAGCAACAAAUGCCCUGCUUCCAGGAAAAGCCUCUAAGCAUCAGGUAACAUCAAAUCGUACCCCAAACCGACACAGGUGGUCAGGUAGAGAAUACCAAGGCGCUUGAGAGAACUCGGGUGAAGGAACUAGGCAAAAUGGUGCCGUAACUUCGGGAGAAGGCACGCUGAUAUGUAGGUGAGGUCCCUCGCGGAUGGAGCUGAAAUCAGUCGAAGAUACCAGCUGGCUGCAACUGUUUAUUAAAAACACAGCACUGUGCAAACACGAAAGUGGACGUAUACGGUGUGACGCCUGCCCGGUGCCGGA
This 615-nucleotide ribosomal RNA is filed under the name Escherichia coli. RNAcentral's name for it is "partial 23S ribosomal RNA". It matches the Rfam family "Bacterial large subunit ribosomal RNA", at positions 1273 to 1873 of the family's 2925-position model. Lineage: Bacteria; Pseudomonadati; Pseudomonadota; Gammaproteobacteria; Enterobacterales; Enterobacteriaceae. The record is from RNAcentral.